ACUUUACAAGUCAUCUCCAAACAUGCAGAAGACGAUAAAUCAUAUUUGUCGGAAGCAAAAUGUUAAAUAAGGGAAGGAGGAAAGAAGUUUCCAGGUUAAAAAAGUAAGUAAAGGUUUCCCACUUUACACGACCUAUAAAAAAUUAAAAUUUGCAAUAUUCAUCAACUUAUUCAUCAAGUUUUUUCAAUCUCAAAAGUAUCGAAUUGCAAUGGUUUAGUCCUCAAGAAUGUUCUCUGCAGAAUGCUUUCCAUCGGCAGAUCAGCUGAGAUAAUUUCGUUGCUUCCACAUUUUUAUUAAAGCAAAGAUUAAUUGACUCAAACCCUCCACUUCCAGAGAAGGUUUAUGUUCAUAUAUAGACCUUCAGUUUUUGAAAAUGUUGUGGCCACUGAAGCACCUAUCAACUUGCUCUCCAGGUGGAACACUGCUGACCUCGAACAACAGCUAGGCAUAUAUAGCUACCCUUUCUUCCAUUCUUGUAACUUUAGAAAUAUUUUAUUUUAUGGCAGUUUUUUUCCAAAUACAGUUAAAAAAAGUAUCUCAAAUUUCAGUUCAACUUUUUUUUUUUUGGAUUUAAACUCCUUAAUCUCUCCCUAACUCAUAAAUAGGAGGAUAAUAUGGUUUAGCGCACCCAAAUUUACAUCUUCUUGUAUUAAUAAUAAUAUUUAUAUCAAUCAAGUUAAUACUCAAUCGGCCAGUUCAACAUAAUUUUAUUUUUGAUUAAUUUUAAAUCCAAACAUUUUAGGGAUCAAAUUUAGAAGCGUGUCAAUUGAAAUUUUGAAAUCAAGUAUUUUGUUAUUCCACCCGUAGUUAAAUCAACAUGUAAUUCAUAGUUGUUUAAUUGAACUUCUGUCCUAAUCAAAUUGAUAUCACUUUAUAUUUUAUAUUAUUUUUAUUAAAACUACUCAACGAAAUUUACAUAAGUUAUCUUUAUAUAUAUAAAAUCUACUUUUACAUAUAAUUUCUCCCCACCUUUAAAACAGAGAGAGAAAUUAUGUUUAAAUACGCUCAAACCCACAUUGAAGAGAGCAAUAAUGAGUAAAUUUUUAUUUUGAAAAUGAUUGAUUAGGUAAAAAAUCUUUUACGUUGACAACUAAUUGGAGAGAGCAAUAAUGAAAAAUUCAUUAUCAAGUUGAUUUUUGCCGAUAUUGGUGCAAACAUUAGUUAGUACGAGGACAAAUAGUUAAGCAAGAGGUGGAGCCAAUUGAGGGCAGAAAGCAAGGAAAAGAGUGACAUGUUCUUGUCUCCAUUAAUAUCUGUCAAUAUGCUUAUAUAUGCCCAAUCAGUAACGGAAGAUCCGCCCCACAAGCAUGUGCGAGGAGCCAGGGACAGCUUCCAGGAAGUUUCCUCUAUCAAAUUUAAAAUGGAGUUUGUUUCAUGCGAAUUAUGGGGGCAACAGCUAGUCCUUAAUUAAUAGCGUUGCUAAAAAACAAGGUUCUUCCAAGAUUUUCAUACUCUCCAAGAUAUCAAUGUCGUGAAUUUAUUUCAUUUAUUUUUUCCCCUUUCAUUCUUCUUUUCAGUAAGGGAAUUAUUGGUGACAUCAAUGAUAGGGAAGGGUGAUGCCAAGGGCAGUUUCCAGGAAGUUUCCUCUGCAUCUUUUGAUAAGGGCAAAUCGAAAAUUUUAGCAGAUAUCUCAUUCAUAUAUAGCUUGAAGAUUUAUUUCAUCUAUACAUUUCAUCCAACUUAAAUGGUGUAGUUGAUGCUCAAGUUGGUUUAGAUUUAGAUGUGAAAGUGGAAUCAAUUAGUCUUGUUAAUUCUACUUAUUAUUAAUUGGCCACAUUUGAGAGUUAUGCCAAUUCUUUUCUUUUUUUUUUUUAAGACUUUUGUUACUUGUGAUUUAAUGUUGUCUUUUCUUUUAAUUUUAUUUAUUUAUUCGAGUUUAACACUCAUAAACAAGUCAUUUUGAGUUAUAUAUUCUAAUUAUUUCAAUUUUAAGUUGGAUGGAUUUAAACCAUCGAAUUUCUGGACUUACAAUUUUGGGUUGAAGUGAGAGUUAAUAGACAGAUUUGAAUGGGAAGCAAAAAUUAUAUGUUGCAUACAAGAACUCCAUUAGAGACUUGUACAAUUCCUAGUUUCUUAGUCCAUAGAAUCAAGUAAAGAAAGCAAGCGCUGUCUAGGGCUAGGCUCACUAGUAAUUUGGCGGGGACAUUUACAUGGAUGCUCUUUUCAAAAUUCGAUAACAGGAAUUAAUUUCUGUUAGUUUAUCUUUAUAUAUUAAUUUAGUUAUUUUAGUUUA
Gossypium raimondii (Peruvian cotton) is the source of this 2233-nucleotide long non-coding RNA. RefSeq lists it as uncharacterized. The transcript is spliced from 2 exons. Lineage: Eukaryota; Viridiplantae; Streptophyta; Magnoliopsida; Malvales; Malvaceae. The record is from RefSeq and is a predicted model, not a curated record.